AGUGAACGCUGGCGGUAGGCCUAACACAUGCAAGUCGAACGGCAGCACAGUAAGAGCUUGCUCUUACGGGUGGCGAGUGGCGGACGGGUGAGGAAUACAUCGGAAUCUACUUUUUCGUGGGGGAUAACGUAGGGAAACUUACGCUAAUACCGCAUACGACCUACGGGUGAAAGCAGGGGAUCUUCGGACCUUGCGCGAUUGAAUGAGCCGAUGUCGGAUUAGCUAGUUGGCGGGGUAAAGGCCCACCAAGGCGACGAUCCGUAGCUGGUCUGAGAGGAUGAUCAGCCACACUGGAACUGAGGCACGGUCCAGACUCCUACGGGAGGCAGCAGUGGGGAAUAUUGGACAAAGGGCGCAAGCCUGAUCCAGCCAUACCGCGUGGGUGAAGAAGGCCUUCGGGUUGUAAAGCCCUUUUGUUGGGAAAGAAAAGCAGCAGGUUAAUACCCCGCUGUUCUGACGGUACCCAAGGAAUAAGCACCGGCUAACUUCGUG
This 492-nucleotide ribosomal RNA is filed under the name uncultured bacterium. RNAcentral's name for it is "partial 16S ribosomal RNA". It matches the Rfam family "Bacterial small subunit ribosomal RNA", at positions 29 to 507 of the family's 1533-position model. The record is from RNAcentral.